UGUUAUGAUAGUUGGACGUGCUGAAAAUCAUAAUCGCCUGCUUCAAUUUGCGGUUAACAGCUGCUUGCUAUUUAGGUGGUUCAUAAAAGUCUCUUUUGAAUUUGAGGAAUUUAUUACAAAGGCAAGUUGUUUUAUUGUAAUCAGUGGUUGGUGAGUUGUUGGGUGCUGCAGCUGCUAUCCCAGCUUUUUUCGGCUAGUAGGCUGGUGACACCCUGAACCGGUUGCCAGCCAAUCGUAGGGCACACAGAGACUAACAACCAUCCGUGCUCACCCUCACACCUAAGGGACAAUUCGGAGAGUUCAAUCAGCAUGCCAUGCAAUGAGGGAGGAAACCGGAAUACCCGGAGAAAAGCCACGCAGGUGAAUAUAGAAACCCCACACACAGGGAGGCCCGAGCUGGAAUUGAACCCGCUACCCCUGCACUGUGAGGUUGACGCGCUAACCACUAGACCACCGGGCCGCCUGUUCAAUAUCCAUUAUCUUUAAUAUAACCAAUCGUAGGGCACACAGAGACUAACAACCAUCCGUGCUCACCCUCACACCUAAGGGACAAUUCGGAGAGUUCAAUCAGCAUGCCAUGCAAUGAGGGAGGAAACCGGAAUACCCGGAGAAAAGCCACCCAGGUGAAUAUACAAACUCCACACACAGGGAGGCCCGAGCUGGAAUUGAACCCUCUACCCCUGCACUGUGAGGUCGACGCGCUAACCACUAGACCACCGGGCCGCCUGUUCAAUAUCCAUUAUCUUUAAUAUAACCCCAUAGAAAGAAGUCGAAAGGAGUGAUAUCUGCUAAACGCGGGUGGCAAGGAAUUGGCCCGUCCCUCCCAACACACCGGUCUGAAAAUGGUCCUUGUUCCAUUUCACAAUAAACUGGUCCACGGCGCAGAAAUAACGGUGAGAACCUGACUUGCUUUUAUUGAUCAAUAUUAUUAUAAAGAGGCUUUUUUGGCAGGUUUAAGCAUCGACACACUAUAACUGUCAGAAAGGUCAAAACUUCUCUUUAUUUCUCUGGGAUGCUGAAGGGGGACUGCCACGCAAGGCGGCGCGCGUCCAAGCGCGGUCCGACAAAAGGCUGAUGUUGCAGUGACUCAGGAGGGAGUGCGCACGAUGAUUUAUAAUUAAUCUCCGCAUAGAUUAUUAACACUCCAUCUGAAGCGGCUUUGAAGCACUCGCCGGUUAUGUGCCGGCGCCGCGUAAUGUGCCGCGUCGCAUACUCGCAGUCGGCACCUGUCUGAGGCGAUUCCCAGUCGGCCGAGGCACCGGAGGACUGACGGCUAAAGUUGGCUCCGGCAGGGCUUAAUGGGAGAGCUCGUUUUUAAGUGGAUUGAUUUUCGAGCUUGGCGUGUCACUCAGCGUAGGCAGACGAGCCGCCGUAACUGAAUUUGACGUGUUAUUAAUUCUCGGAUAGGCAGGAUGAGGCAUGACACAGCUGUCGACACAAUGACGGAGUUGUGAGCGUCUGUGCGCAAAUAUGCCCAUCCGGCAUUGUUUGGUGGAUUUUCUCUACGGUUACCGGUCCCAACAUGAGGUUACACCCGCAUGCUCGAAUGACAUAUCCUACAUGAGAGCUGUACCUCCCCCACCAUCUGCCUUGACUAUAAAAUGCUCGGCUACGGAUGCUUCGUGCUUCUCCGAAGUCAGCGCUUGACAAGCAUCGCUGCGGUUAAUCGCUUUUCCAUUCAUAGGAAAGGCGAAAGGUAAAAAAAAAAAGUAUGAGAUAUUAUAUCGUUACAUGUUGGAGCACAGGCGGCCCGGCAGUCCAGUGAUUAGCACGUCGGCUUCACAGUGCAGAGGCACCGGGUUCGAUUCCAGCUCCGGCCUCCCUGUGUGGAGUUUGCAUGUUCCCCCGGGCCUGCGUGGGUUUUCUCCGGGUGCUCCGGUUUCCUCCCACAUUCCAAAAACAUGCGUGGCAGGCUGAUUGAACGCUCUAAAUUGUCCCUAGGUGUGAGUGUGAGCGUGGAUGGUUGUUCGUCUGUGUGUGCCCUGUGAUUGGCUGGCAACCGAUUCAGGGUGUCCCCCGCCUACUGCCCGAAGACAGCUGGGAUAG
Hippocampus zosterae (dwarf seahorse) is the source of this 2046-nucleotide long non-coding RNA. RefSeq lists it as uncharacterized. Lineage: Eukaryota; Metazoa; Chordata; Actinopteri; Syngnathiformes; Syngnathidae. The record is from RefSeq and is a predicted model, not a curated record. The transcript is spliced from 3 exons.